RNAcentral lists this ribosomal RNA (450 nucleotides) under uncultured bacterium. RNAcentral describes it as "partial 16S ribosomal RNA". It matches the Rfam family "Bacterial small subunit ribosomal RNA", at positions 354 to 796 of the family's 1533-position model. The record is from RNAcentral.
GUGGGGAAUAUUGGACAAUGGGCGCAAGCCUGAUCCAGCAAUGCCGCGUGGGUGAAGAAGGCCUUCGGGUUGUAAAGCCCUUUUGUACGGGAAGAAAUCAUUCGGGUUAAUACCCUGGGUGGAUGACGGUACCGUAAGAAUAAGCACCGGCUAACUUCGUGCAAGCAGCCGCGGUGAUACGAAGGGUGCAAGCGUUAAUCGGAAUUACUGGGCGUAAAGCGCGCGUAGGUGGUUUUGUAAGUUGGUGGUGAAAUCCCCGGGCUCAACCUGGAAACUGCCUUUGUGACUGCAAGGAUAGAGUACGGCAGAGGGGGAUGGAAUUCCGCAUGUAGCAGUGAAAUGCUUAGAUAUGCGGAGGAACACCGAUGGCGAAGGCAAUCCCCUGGGCCUGUACUGACGCUCAUGCACGAAAGCGUGGGGAGCAAACAGGAUUAGAUACCCUAGUAGUCC